GAGUUUACGCUCUAUAACCCUUUGUGAACAUACCUAUAACUGUUGCUUCGGCGGGUAGGGUCUCCGUGACCCUCCCGGCCUCCCGCCCCCGGGCGGGUCGGCGCCCGCCGGAGGGUAACCAAACUCUGAUUUAACGACGUUUCUUCUGAGUGGUACAAGCAAAUAAUCAAAACUUUUAACAACGGAUCUCUUGGUUCUGGCAUCGAUGAAGAACGCAGCGAAAUGCGAUAAGUAAUGUGAAUUGCAGAAUUCAGUGAAUCAUCGAAUCUUUGAACGCACAUUGCGCCCGCCAGCAUUCUGGCGGGCAUGCCUGUUCGAGCGUCAUUUCAACCCUCAAGCUCUGCUUGGUGUUGGGGCCCUACAGCUGAUGUAGGCCCUCAAAGGUAGUGGCGGACCCUCCCGGAGCCUCCUUUGCGUAGUAACUUUACGUCUCGCACUGGGAUCCGGAGGGACUCUUGCCGUAAAACCCCCAAUUUUCCAAAGGUUGACCUCGGAUCAGGUAGGAAUACCCGCUGAACUUAAGC
RNAcentral lists this ribosomal RNA (524 nucleotides) under fungal endophyte. Its description in RNAcentral is "eukaryotic LSU rRNA". The stretch from base 171 to 324 matches the Rfam family "5.8S ribosomal RNA". Lineage: Eukaryota; Fungi. The record is from RNAcentral.